This 670-nucleotide long non-coding RNA is filed under the name Helianthus annuus (common sunflower). RNAcentral describes it as "hypothetical non coding rna". Lineage: Eukaryota; Viridiplantae; Streptophyta; Magnoliopsida; Asterales; Asteraceae. The record is from RNAcentral.
UAUUAUUUAUAUUUUAUGUGUUGUAAAGUAUACAAAUAAGACUAUAUAAAAGUUAUAAUGUUAAUAUUUAUAAGGGCAAAGUGAAUAUGUGGCUGUUUCACGUCUAACCUUACAUGUGAAACCAUCCAAAACUACGUAGUUUUGUUAGAAUUCCUUCCAAACUUCAUCUCGCUCCAUCAGGUCACGUCAAAAUUGGGUUUCUGCUCUCCUUCUCAUGCUCUGCCCAAUCGAUCUUCAUCAGGUAAACCCUAACUCUUAAAGGCACAGAUCUCUCCGCUAUCAUCGUUGAUGCACUUCAGUAUCUCGAUGGAAUCAAACAGGUGUUCAGAGCUGAUAUACAUCCAGGUGCAAGAGGCUAUGAUGAGUUAAUCUCAACUUCGUGAAUCAGAAGCCAACAAGGAAUCAAUUGGAUAUAGACAAUUGGAGAACCAACUGGAGCAAAAGUCAACAGAACGGACCCAACUAAGGAAAGACACUUGCAGCAACAAGCUGCUGAUUUAUCAUGAUAUUAUCUCGUGCGGUUCACUCAGAGAGAAUUUAAUGUAACAAUUUAGUGACUAUGUAUUCUAUUUGUAAUUGUUACUAGUAAUUAAUGUAAUUAUACAGUUUGUAAGUUCGUUUGACAUGUUUUAUAAUAACUUAAUGAAUUUUGACAUGUUUAAUAUGAGUA